GGACCUGCUGGGUGCUCUGCUCCAGCUCGAUCCUCCUGCACAUGAGGUCUGACUUCCCAAUGGCUUUUUUUAGCACAGUGUGAGCCUUGCCUGACAUUUCUCCUGAACUAAAUAAGUCCCCAACUCGAUUUACACUCACUCACCCUGCCAGCAAUGCCCAAGGGUGGCACUUCUGACAUUGCUUCAAGGAACGGGCACGGAUCCAGCCUCACCUUAUCCCAGGGGAUGAAUACACAGCAGGGGCUGCAGCUUUACCCCUGUUUGGAUUUUCAGAAAGCCACGAGGAAUCUGCCCUGCUUUGCCUCUCUGGGAUCUGGAUCUCAGCACUCGACUGUCCCUGUCCUCACCAGGGACAAGCUCUGCUCUGUCAUGGUUUGAGAGUGUGAAGUCAAACGUCACAGCAGCUCCUACCUGACAUGGGAACCAUAGCUACAGCUGAAGACCUUCAGUUCAGCAAGCUGUCAGCUAAGGAGAGCUGGGAAGGAGCUGUGCCAUCCCACAGGGUGGAUUUGUCUCCUGGGAGGAGCAGAGCAGGAGCCAGCAGCUCCUGGAGCCUUCUUCCCAUCUUGGAGAACGCUGUCCUUCACUCAGAUCCCACAAGGAUGGAAAUCCAGCUGAGUGUUGGAAAGGAUGACUUGAAGGAGAGCUGAAGUCUGGAAGAAGCUCUGGGCAGUGGCUGGAUCAGGGAUUUUGAAUUAGCCUCGUUAACAUGCAUUAAUUAGAUUUCUGCAGAGCCAGAGACAUCAGGCAUCGGGAAAACAAUAUCCUGCCUUUUGUCAGUGGCCUCACAGAUGCUCCAGAGGAAGGGGAGCUGUGCCCUUCCCAGGGCCAGCAGCUCCAGGAGGGACAUUCCAGAGGGAACACCAGCUGGGGAUGCUCAGACAGCCCCAAAAACAAGAAGUGCUGGAAGAUGCUGCCGUGGGAGAGGUGUAGGAAAGGGAUAAUAUUAAUAUUAAUAUUAAUAAUAACAAUAAUAGUAAUGUCCUGAGCAGCCCUGGGCUGGCAGGUGGCAGCAGGGACACGGUGUCACCACGGCCCCUGAGCAGUGACAGACACAGGGGCAGGUGCAAGUGAAGCCAGGCAGAACCUGCAGGCAGGAAAUGCCCAUUAUUUGCUGACAAGUUGGUUUUUCCUCUUACCAAAACCACUCUAAGAAUCCCAAGUCUUUUGUUCAGCUUCAGCCUGAGUGUCUGGGAGUGUCCUUGCUGAGGGAAAGGCCACCAGGGGGGACAGCAAAGGAUUUCCCCAUAGGGGUCACCAAAGACAGCUUGGAGGAGGAAAUGCUUUUUUUUCUAAACAAAAUAGUAAACUUGGGCAAAAGGAUGCUGAGAGUGGCACAGGGGCCUGCCUGAAUUCCCUGGGGCUUCCCAUUCCUUCAGGAAAUACUCACUUUGGAGUGGCAAGUUGGGAAUUCUGUCCCUUUAUAUAGAUUUGGCCAUUCCUACCCACUGCUCAUCCUGACGUGUUUGACUGGAGCACAACUGCCUUGACCAGGACCCAAACCCACCCUGGCAUGUUGGAUAAUCCCAUGGGACACAAAUCCCACCUGUCCCUGUGCUGCAGCUGCUGCAGAACCUUUUCCCCCAGUGUUCAGAGGAAGGGCUGCAGAGAUGGCCAGAAAGCUGCAGAAAUCUCUCCACACCUCCUGCUCUGUGUGUUUCUGCAGCCCAGAGCCUGCUGUGGUUUUGUGCAGCUGUGGCUAAACUGUCAUUAGCUCCCAGGCCACCGAGUUGUGACAGAAGGGUUUGUGUAUUAAACAACAAUUCUGAUUAUUUGAGCACCUCGUGGCCUUUCAUCCUGCCUGGGGUGAGCUCUGCUUCCCAGAUAGGACCAAGAAACAGCAAGGGCUAAGAUAUUUCUGAAUUAUUCUUCUAAUUUCUCAUGUAGGGCUUGGUCCCUUUGUCCCCAGCCCUUCGUGGCUCUGCUGGUUUUGGCUUUGGAGCUGCCUGUCCUGAUGGGAGCCCUCCCUGAGCACGGGCUCAGCCCCAUCCCUGCAGCCCAGGAGUGGGCCAGAACACAGCCCCCAGAACGUCCUCACGGAUUUUAGGGUCUUUCAACCUUCCUAAAGGCCACAGCAGCCCCAGAUCCCUCCCUCUGGAACAGCAGCAGGUUCUCAGUCUGUUCUCUGCUCCAGCUAGAGAGGGGAGCAGGGAUGGAUCCUGAGGGCUCUCCCUGUUUCUGUGCUUCCAUCCCCAAAUUUCCCUCCCUGGCCCCUUCCCCAGGCACAUCCUGGGCUUGGGGGAGCCCAGCUGGGGGGGAAAGGACCAGUCCUGGAUCCACAGGAACACAUUCCCAGCCUGGAAUCAGCAGUCAGGGAGGAAAGAGGCCUCAACUGUGCAGACAGGACAUUGGGAAAGGAAGGAGGAUUUUUAGGGGGCUGCUGGAAGGAAGGAAGUUUCUGUGGGAGUGACUCAGUGUCUUCUUGUGGAAAAGUCUGGAAGCUGUAGAGCUCCCCAGACCCCCAAUCUCCCCACAGGGAUGUUCAGCUGCUCUUCCACCUAAAUAUUUGCCAUCUCAAUGUCCCUGAGCAGCCUCCCCUGGGGCUCCCCACCUGCUCAUGGUUCCAUUUAAGCUCAGCCUGGAGCUUUCAUCCCUUUCCUUGCCUUGGUCAUGCUCAGCUCUGACCCUGCCUCAGCACAGACCUUCUCCAUGCAGGUAACUUCCCUCUGGGAUGAGCUCUUGGAUGCUCAUUUUAAUUUAAACAUUAAAUUAUUAACAUUAAUUAAGCACUUUAAUUUGUUGCCAGGCUGGGUUUUGACCCUGGCUCAUGGGGGAAGUUUUGGGGUCUUGUUGUAGGUUUGUCUCCAAUCCUGGCUCUGUUUCCUUUUGUUCUGGAAUUCCUGGCUGGGAUUGUUGAGGGGAUGAGCUGUCCCUCCUCCCAGGAGGGUUCCAGGGAGGGCUGAGGACGUUCCCUGUGCUGGGGUUAUCCUUGGAUCCCAGGUUCCUGCUCUUUAGGGAUCACCCUCAUCUUCCCUGGCAGCCUCCUGCUCAGCCCAAGGCUGCACCCAAAUUCCUGAGGGUGCCUCCAGAGCUGCUUCCUCCCAAAAAAAAGUUGUUGGAGCAAAUAAUGGAUUUGUAGGAGCCAAGGGCAGGGUUAGAGGGGGAAAUUUUAGGAUUUGGAGUGAAUGCAGGGCUUGGCAAGGUGUUGGUGCUUCCCACGUGCUCCUAGGGAAAAGGGAAAUAUCUUCAGAUUUCAGCUCCUCAAUUUCCCUUUCCAUGAGCUGCCAAAAUCCUGGCACACCUGGACUGAAAGUCAAAGCAGGGCCCCUUCUCCUUCAACCCAGGGCCUGUCCUGGCUUUAUUUUUCCUUUUCAAGCAUGAAAUCCCCAAUAAAGGGCUGGUGUGGCUUUCCCCUCUUCCCUGCCACCCAAUUCUUGCUUCCCUGGAGCUCAUCCCAAAUUCAGACAAUUGUAUUUCCAGGGUAAAUAAUUUCUCUGACAAUGAUUUUUUUUUUUAGCUUUUUGGGCUGACUUGCUGUUUUAAGUUUAUUUUUCAGCUCCAAGCUCUAAAUAGACUUUCCCUUUCUGAAAAUGUGCCUUCAGAGCAGGAAGGAACUUGACUUUGUGAAGAUUUAUGGCCCUUUUAACCUCAUUAUGGGACUAUUUGUAACAAUCAGCUUCAGUUCCACUUGAGAUAGUAAAAUUUCUGUAAGCCCUUAUUUGCCCCAGGCUGGAAGGUAUCAGCUACUGAAAAGCAAUGAAAUGGAGGAAUUUAUCCACAUAAAACAUUGCAAAUGUGCUGUUAAAAGCUGGAUCCUGUCUUGAGUUUUUAAUGCAGGAGGCUAAGGAUGUGGAGCUGGGAAUAAAAUGGAGGUGGAGAAGAAAUAAAAUAAAUUGUUAAUUGUUAAAAAUACCAAAACCAACAAAAUAAUCACCAAAAAAAACCCUACUUGAAGUAGUUUUAAAUUAAAUUUAAAUGUUUUCUAGCUGAAAUGAAAACCAGAUGAAAAGGUGUGGGGAAAGAGAAAUUGUUAUUGAGAAGAUUGGAGAGGAGGAAAAGAUGUUUUACUGAAACAAAAACCUGAUGAAAUUUUGGUACAAAGCACUUUCACCACUUUUGAUCUGACACUUUUCCAUCCAACCUGAAUUUAUUUUAGCAGUAAAUACAAACCUGGGGGUGUUUAAGGAAAGAUUUCCCUCAGCAAGUGCUUCAUUUUCCCCUUUCUCCUUCUUCUCUGCAGCUGCUGGUUUAUUUUUUUAAUUAAAAAUAGAUUCAGAGGGAUGCUGAUAAUGGGAUCCAUUCUAACCCAGGAGUGUCCAUGGCACAAUUCAUUUCCCAGAAUUUAUCUGGGACAUCCAAUGUCAUUAUCAAUGCUUUCAAUUUAGAAUUGAACAACUUUCCAAGUGCUGUGCAA
This is a long non-coding RNA of Parus major (Great Tit), 4354 nucleotides long. RefSeq lists it as uncharacterized. NCBI's taxonomy places the organism in Eukaryota, Metazoa, Chordata, Aves, Passeriformes, Paridae. The transcript is spliced from 3 exons. The record is from RefSeq and is a predicted model, not a curated record.